This 504-nucleotide ribosomal RNA is filed under the name uncultured bacterium. RNAcentral's name for it is "bacterial SSU rRNA". It matches the Rfam family "Bacterial small subunit ribosomal RNA", at positions 25 to 518 of the family's 1533-position model. The record is from RNAcentral.
CAGAACGAACGCUGGCGGCGCGUUUAAGCAUGCAAGUCGAGCGGCAAGGGCCUUCGGGCCCCUAGAGCGGCGGACGGGUGAGUAACACGUGGACAAUCUGCCCCCCGGCCCCGGGAUAGCCCAGGGAAACCUGGAUUAAUACCGGAUGAGACGGGACCCGCGAUGGCGGGAUCCGGGAAAGGCGCUGCGGCGCCGCCGGGGGAUGAGUCUGCGUCCCAUUAGCUAGACGGCGGGGUAACGGCCCACCGUGGCGACGAUGGGUAGCCGGCCUGAGAGGGUGGACGGCCACAUUGGAACUGAGACACGGUCCAGACUCCUACGGGAGGCAGCAGCUAAGAAUCUUCCGCAAUGGGCGAAAGCCUGACGGAGCCGACGCCGCGUGAACGAAGAAGGCCGUGAGGUUGUAAAGUUCUUUUCGGGAGGGGGAACAACCGUGGCAGGGAAUGGCCGCGGGAUGACGUGAAUCCCGGAAUAAGCCCCGGCUAACUACGUGCCAGCAGCCGC